This 92-nucleotide transfer RNA is filed under the name Bacillus sp. 1NLA3E. Its description in RNAcentral is "tRNA-Ser (CGA) (tRNA-Ser-CGA-1-1)". It matches the Rfam family "tRNA". From Rfam's summary of the family: Transfer RNA (tRNA) molecules are approximately 80 nucleotides in length. Their secondary structure includes four short double-helical elements and three loops (D, anti-codon, and T loops). Further hydrogen bonds mediate the characteristic L-shaped molecular structure. tRNAs have two regions of fundamental functional importance: the anti-codon, which is responsible for specific mRNA codon recognition, and the 3' end, to which the tRNAs corresponding amino acid is attached (by aminoacyl-tRNA synthetases). tRNAs cope with the degeneracy of the genetic code in two manners: having more than one tRNA (with a specific anti-codon) for a particular amino acid; and 'wobble' base-pairing, i.e. permitting non-standard base-pairing at the 3rd anti-codon position. Lineage: Bacteria; Bacillati; Bacillota; Bacilli; Caryophanales; Bacillaceae. The record is from RNAcentral.
GGAGAAGUACCCAAGUGGUUAUAAGGGGACGCACUCGAAAUGCGUUAGGAUGGGCAACUGUUGCGUGAGUUCGAAUCUCACCUUCUCCGCCA